This 486-nucleotide long non-coding RNA is filed under the name Phoenix dactylifera (date palm). RNAcentral's name for it is "long non-coding RNA (PDAC_LNC008434)". Lineage: Eukaryota; Viridiplantae; Streptophyta; Magnoliopsida; Arecales; Arecaceae. The record is from RNAcentral.
GACAAGCAUUUUGCAUCUUCCCUUCAUUUCGAUCACACCCAGCCAGCUUCCGAUCUUUUCUCCCUUCGGAUCAGAGUAUCAGCUUAUCCACUACAUCCGGAUUCAUCCCAGCAUCAGCUCCACAUUCAUCCUUAUCCUUCCCAGCCGAAUCAAGCAACUCAGCCGGAUUCCCAUGCUUCCUCUUAGCCGUUCCAACUCCCCUGUUCCAGCUGCAACCUUAAUCAAAGAACAGAGCUGUAUGUCAUCCUCCUCUUCAUCCACAGGAUAAACUCAAGUCCCAAGCUUCCUUCCGUUCGGAUUGACUCGAUCAUCCACGUGAAGAUUCCCCUGCAUCCACAACGGUCCAGUUUUCCCGUGAUGCAUGCAAAAGGUCCCACGUUCAUAAGCAUCCUCCCGAUGGCUUCCUUCCAUUAUUCACGGGAUGAAUACCAGCAGCCUUGCAUCCGCUUCCUCCCAUCGUGUCUUCACAAUAGUCUCCACUCCCCN